UGGGUCGGCCGGACGGUCGCGUCGCGGUGCUCCGGUGCCGCGCCGAGGAACGUCCGGGCUGCACAGAGGAGAGCGGUGGGUAACGCCCACCCGGGGCAACCCGCGAGAAAGUGCCACAGAGAGUAGACCGCCGGAUCCGGUUCGCCGCAUCCGGUAAGGGUGAAAGGGUGGGGUAAGAGCCCACCGGCGCCCGUGGUGACACGGGCGGCCAGGUAAACCUCGUUCGCAGCAAGGCCAGACAGCAGACGUUGACGCUCCUCGCCGAGUCUGCGGGUAGGCCGCUAGAGGGUGUCGGCAACGGCUCCCCGAGAGAGAUGACCGUCACUGCUUCGGCAGUACAGAACCCGGCGUACAGGCCGGCCCAUUCC
Molecule: RNase P RNA, 368 nt
Filed under: Actinomycetota bacterium
Lineage: Bacteria; Bacillati; Actinomycetota
Description: Actinobacteria bacterium RNase P RNA component class A
Rfam family: Bacterial RNase P class A
About the family: Ribonuclease P (RNase P) is a ubiquitous endoribonuclease, found in archaea, bacteria and eukarya as well as chloroplasts and mitochondria.
Source: RNAcentral